RNAcentral lists this ribosomal RNA (381 nucleotides) under Pseudomonas sp. TTU2014-096BSC. Its description in RNAcentral is "bacterial LSU rRNA". It matches the Rfam family "Bacterial large subunit ribosomal RNA", at positions 2567 to 2925 of the family's 2925-position model. Lineage: Bacteria; Pseudomonadati; Pseudomonadota; Gammaproteobacteria; Pseudomonadales; Pseudomonadaceae. The record is from RNAcentral.
AAGGGUAUGGCUGUUCGCCAUUUAAAGUGGUACGCGAGCUGGGUUUAGAACGUCGUGAGACAGUUCGGUCCCUAUCUGCCGUGGACGUUUGAGAUUUGAGAGGGGCUGCUCCUAGUACGAGAGGACCGGAGUGGACGAACCUCUGGUGUUCCGGUUGUCACGCCAGUGGCACUGCCGGGUAGCUAUGUUCGGAAGAGAUAACCGCUGAAAGCAUCUAAGCGGGAAACUUGCCUCAAGAUGAGAUCUCACUGGAGCCUCGAGCUCCCUGAAGGGCCGUCGAAGACUACGACGUUGAUAGGUGGGGUGUGUAAGCGUUGUGAGGCGUUGAGCUAACCCAUACUAAUUGCCCGUGAGGCUUGACCAUAUAACACCCAAACAAUU